RNAcentral lists this ribosomal RNA (253 nucleotides) under uncultured bacterium. Its description in RNAcentral is "partial 16S ribosomal RNA". It matches the Rfam family "Bacterial small subunit ribosomal RNA", at positions 524 to 776 of the family's 1533-position model. The record is from RNAcentral.
UACGUAGGGCGCAAGCGUUGUCCGGAAUUAUUGGGCGUAAAGAGCUCGUAGGCGGCUUGUCACGUCGGAUGUGAAAGCCCGGGGCUUAACCCCGGGUCGGCAGUGGAUACGGGCAGGCUAGAGGUAGGUAGGGGAGAAUGGAAUUCCCGGUGUAGCGGUGAAAUGCGCAGAUAUCGGGAGGAACACCGGUGGCGAAGGCGGGUCUCUGGGCCGAAACUGACGCUGAGGAGCGAAAGCGUGGGGAGCGAACAGG